This 114-nucleotide ribosomal RNA is filed under the name uncultured bacterium. RNAcentral's name for it is "partial 16S ribosomal RNA". It matches the Rfam family "Bacterial small subunit ribosomal RNA", at positions 1369 to 1482 of the family's 1533-position model. The record is from RNAcentral.
CGUUCUCGGGUCUUGUACACACCGCCCGUCACACCACGGGAGUUGGGGGCGCCCGAAGCCGGAUUGCUAACCUUUUGGAAGCGUCCGUCGAAGGUGAAAUCAAUAACUGGGGUG